This 1173-nucleotide long non-coding RNA is filed under the name Sus scrofa (pig). RNAcentral's name for it is "lncRNA (ENSSSCG00070007153.1)". Lineage: Eukaryota; Metazoa; Chordata; Mammalia; Artiodactyla; Suidae. The record is from RNAcentral.
CAACCCUACGCGGAUGUGGACUAUGCACCUGCAAUGCUACGAGGAUGCUGACUAUGCACCUGCGACCACGGCCUGACAAGAUCCCCUCUGCAUCACGGGCAGCGCAGGGCAAGGAACGGGAGAAUAGGGGGAUUUUCAGUCCCAUUUCUCAGUUCGAUCAGGGACUAUCACUCUCCAGACUCAGCAGAUGGCAGACCAGACAGCUUUGUCUGAUGAGCUAAUUAGUUUUCAGCACCUCAUUGUCACCUCACAGUGGCAUCUCGGAUAAAAGCUUAAGGUGCCGAAUGUUUAAGGGGCUUAUCUGAAUUCGGUAAAGUGUGUUCUUUAACUUAACUUUAUCUGCACAGGAGACAUUUGAAGAGAAUGAAGACUGAGGAGAAAAUGCUCACAAAGUAGCCCAUCUCCAACUUGUGAAUGUUGUGAAAAUGCGAGGUGUUUCCACACCAAACUCAAAGAAGCCACAUUUUGGAGUCAAAAGAAACAGGGACCCGUAAACCUAAAUUCCAGUUUCUUCGCCGCCCUUAACUGAGUGGCUGGAGGAGGUCAGUGUCUCUAUUCUCUUAUCUACAAUGUGAAGUCCUUGGAUGAAGUGGACAAACCUACAAUUUUUGCCUCCAGCUGGAAAAUUCUCCUAUUUCACGAACACCUAAUUAGGGUCAACUCCUCAGCCUUCUAAAAGCACACUUCUGAAAUGCAGUUUUUUUCCGAUAGAAUAAAUUUCAAAAUCGCUGAGCAUUAAGAAGCUUUUCCUUUUUAACAGAGCCUAAUUGCCUUGGCAGACCCAUCUGUCUCCAGCAUCGGCAUCUCACGUACCACAUGCCCAAGUGCACUGGGUGAGCUGGCAACCUCCUGAGCCUGAUCGACAGAAAGCUGGAGGUCCAUGGGGGUUGGAUGGCAGCCCCGCUUAAAUCUCUUUGCUGGAAAUUUCACUAAAGAAGACAGCUGGUGCCUAAGAUUCCCAGGGCACCUGCCAUGCUUGCUGAGCAGGAGUAUAAUCAGAACAUCCUGCUCACCUGGCACGGGGCUGGUUCAAAGAUGCUUCCCUGAUGAACCAAUUAGAGGACCAACAACUUCAGUCUAACCCUUCAGGUUGACCUGGGCAUGAUUCAAGCACAUUUGCAGCUGCCUGCUGUGUCCAUGAGGAUAAAUAAAGCCUGAUGGAGCAGAGGAGCA